CACCUAUCUGUAUUCAUCAUGGUUUCAGCGUCUUCCUUCUGGAAGGCUUCCUCCUCUCUCUUCUUGCAUGUGGCACACACAGCAUAUGUCUUCAAUGCUUCUAUCGCAAUAUGAGUGAAACUCAUAUCUUAAUUUCAUAUGCAAGUCUCCUCCCCCCCUCCUCCUUAACUUCCACAUCCCCUCCUUCUACUCAGCCCUCCUCCUCUCCCUCCACAACCAUAUCACCAUUAGCUGGUGCCACUCUGAGCUCAUAAGAAUAUUCAGUAAAUACCUGUUGAAUUGAAAUGAAUGAAACUGAAUAGAUUGGGAGGAGGAGGCCUGGGGAAGGUGGCCAAUCGCUCAGUUGCCCCACACAAGAGCACAAACCACCAUUGUGACACAGGGCCCUAGAGUCUAAAAGUAAAUGAGUAGGGCUCAUGGUAUCAACGAAGAGUGGAAAUUCCACGCCAGCUCCACCAGACCACGGGUUUAGCUCAAACACAACUCCUGGCCAAGGCUGCAUGAAGCUGCACUAUGGUUUUCUAUACCAAGUUGUAAGUUUCAAAGCAGAAAAAUACCUUAGAGGAAGCCAGCCCCGACACUGUACAGAGAAGGAACCAGGCUCAGGAAGUGCCUAUCCGUGGCUGCCUUUGUUAGCUUGUUUGCUGUGAUACAAAAUGAAGCUGAUCCAUUAAUCAUGGAAGAGCUGAAUCCAGAAACAUAUUACCAUGCACUUUUAAAAAAAUAAACAUUAUUUUAAGAAGA
Non-coding RNA from Equus caballus (horse), 744 nucleotides. The record is from RefSeq and is a predicted model, not a curated record. Lineage: Eukaryota; Metazoa; Chordata; Mammalia; Perissodactyla; Equidae.